RNAcentral lists this ribosomal RNA (253 nucleotides) under uncultured bacterium. RNAcentral's name for it is "partial 16S ribosomal RNA". It matches the Rfam family "Bacterial small subunit ribosomal RNA", at positions 524 to 776 of the family's 1533-position model. The record is from RNAcentral.
UACGUAGGGUGCGAGCGUUGUCCGGAAUUACUGGGCGUAAAGAGCUCGUAGGUGGCUUGUUAAGUCAGACGUGAAAUCCCUCAGCUUAACUGGGGAACUGCGUCUGAUACUGGCGAGCUUGAGUGCAGGAGAGGAACGCGGAAUUCCAGGUGUAGCGGUGAAAUGCGUAGAUAUCUGGAGGAACACCGGUGGCGAAGGCGGCGUUCUGGACUGCAACUGACACUGAGAAACGAAAGCCAGGGUAGCAAACGGG